This 253-nucleotide ribosomal RNA is filed under the name uncultured bacterium. RNAcentral's name for it is "partial 16S ribosomal RNA". It matches the Rfam family "Bacterial small subunit ribosomal RNA", at positions 524 to 776 of the family's 1533-position model. The record is from RNAcentral.
UACGGGGGGGGCAAGCGUUGUUCGGAAUUACUGGGCGUAAAGCGCGCGUAGGCGGCUAAUUAAGUCAAAUGUGAAAUCCCCGAGCUUAACUUGGGAAUUGCAUUCGAUACUGGUUAGCUAGAGCGUGGGAGAGGAUGGUAGAAUUCCAGGUGUAGCGGUGAAAUGCGUAGAGAUCUGGAGGAAUACCGAUGGCGAAGGCAGCCAUCUGGCCUAACACUGACGCUGAGGUGCGAAAGCAUGGGGAGCAAACAGG